RNAcentral lists this ribosomal RNA (373 nucleotides) under uncultured organism. Its description in RNAcentral is "partial 16S ribosomal RNA". It matches the Rfam family "Bacterial small subunit ribosomal RNA", at positions 527 to 896 of the family's 1533-position model. The record is from RNAcentral.
GUAGGUGGCAAGCGUUGUCCGGAAUUAUUGGGCGUAAAGCGCGCGCAGGCGGUUCGUUUAAGUCUGAUGUGAAAGCCCACGGGCUCAACCGUGGAGGGUCAUUGGAAACUGGAGAACUUGAGUACAGAAGAGGAAAGCGGAAUUCCACGUGUAGCGGUGAAAUGCGUAGAGAUGUGGAGGAACACCAGUGGCGAAGGCGGCUUUCUGGUCUGUAACUGACGCUGAGGCGCGAAAGCGUGGGGAGCAAACAGGAUUAGAUACCCUGGUAGUCCACGCCGUAAACGAUGAGUGCUAAGUGUUAGGGGGUUUCCCGCCCCUUAGUGCUGCAGCUAACGCAUUAAGCACUCCGCCUGGGGAGUACGGCCGCAGGCUG